This 2391-nucleotide long non-coding RNA is filed under the name Homo sapiens (human). RNAcentral's name for it is "HSALNT0365216". Lineage: Eukaryota; Metazoa; Chordata; Mammalia; Primates; Hominidae. The record is from RNAcentral.
GCCACUUGGUUGUCAUGGAAACAGGCCGGAAUAGAACAGAUGGUCUCCACUAGCCAAAUUCCAAUUAAACAGGGCAGAGAUGGAUAGGGAAGGGAGUGUGAUGUGACGAGGCCGCAGAGAGCUCAGCCCCCAGGAUGGACGGGAAACCCUGGGUCACCGUUCUUGGAGGGGGACAUCAGUGCCUGGCACAUAGUAGAUGCCCAAAGAACAUCUGCUGACUGACCUCACCUAAAGCAUUUGGGCAGUUACCCACAGGUGCUCCAUGACACCUUCUGGCCAGCAGAAAGGACCUGCAGCCAAGUGCUCUGGUGGCUGCUACUGAACACCAACCGCUACUCUCAGCCUUGGGGGUGACAGGAAAGAAUGGGACCGCAGUGAUUGAAACUUAUUUGGGGCAGGAAGCUUGGCCUGGAUGACCUGAGGGGCAGUCAUGUCCUCUGGCCCACCCAGUCUUCACUUCUCACCUCCUCACCCCCCGCCCUCUGGAGGGCAGCUCCUAUCUCUCCUGGAAGGGAGCACAGGAGGCACCUGCCCAGGUGAUCAUCUGGGUUGGGGGGGCGGAUCUCCAGUAGCCCAGGGGCCUGAGACUAAGACAUACUCUGCUUGCAUUGACCACCCUGGAGAAGUCACAGGAGCCCAGCAGAGGGGCUCCCCACAGCGUUCUGGGGCACACACAGCCAGGAGGGUUCCUGGGCCUGGCUUCCCCAGCCCCAGGGAACGGACCCUCCUUCUCCAGACUGGGAGUCCCUCCCAGUGGUAGCUCACAACAGUCCAGCGGUGCGAAGGCUUUCCCUGGAUCAAGCAAAUUAUUGCUUGUGCUAAGCACACCACAUAUGUUAUUCGCCCCUUCCAGCCUCUUAUCAUCUCAUCCCAUUGUACAGCUAGGGGAACUUGUUUAGAGAAGACACAGAUACACCCGCUGACACAGGCUGAAGGUAAUUUUAUACAGUGGCUUUAAUAAUUCUGUGGAUGAAAUAAUGUUUUGACUGCCUUUGGAUUGCGACCCUUCAGGAGGAUAAGUGUGGAAUUUUCCACUUGUGGCGUCAUGUCGGCCUCCAAAAGCUUCGGAUUUUGGAUUAGGGAUGUUCAACCUGCGCCAAGACUCUCUGAAGAUUCAGCACUAAUAACUCCCCAAAUGCAUCAGGCAUGGACAACUACAACACCAGGUUAUCGCUGCACCACUGAAGGGACAGGAAUGUGAAUAAGAAGGUGCUAUGCAGGGGUGGGAAGAGAUUCUGGAAGCAAAGUCUUGUGAGGACUCCAGGCUUAGGAAAUGGUCUUCCUCCAUCACCUGUCUGCCACCCGCCAGGAAGAGAGGCAGCUCAGCCACAUGGUAUAAACACGGACAUGGGGCCUGACUUCUGGAAUCAGAAUCCUGGCUCUGCCACUUACUAGCUGCGUGACCCUGGGCAAGUUACCUAAGCUCUAUCUGGGCCUCAUUUUUCCAUAUAUAAAACUGGGGAGAACAGAAGUACCUUCCAUAUGAGUUGUUAUGAAGAUUAACUAAGUGAUUACAUGUAAGAUGUUUACAACAGUGCCUGGCAUCCAGGGAUUCUCCAUACAAGUGUGUUAUUAUUAUCCUCAUCAAUGUUUCAAACAAGCAACUGUCUAUCCACCCAGCAUGGCCUACUGGUCCCCUAUGCCAGGCCCUGGAGAAACCAAGCCUCAUCAGCAAUGGAGCUCUCAGUCUUGUGAUGAAGAUAAAUCCCAGGCCCAAGUGACUGGAUAGCAGGAUGGAGAGUAAUUGUUGGCAGGGGGUGGCAUGGAUGAGGCGCUGGGGGAUUUGAGAUGAGAGAAGUUAUCCUUAGCUUGCGGGGGGAGCGGGUCAUGAAAGCUUCACAAUAGAAGUGGCUCUUGACUUCAGUAUUCAGAUUUCAUAUUUAUGGGAAAUAAGCGGGAAUGGGGGAACAGCAUGUGCAAAGGCACGGAGGCAGGAAAGCGCUGGGCAUGGAAAGCAUGGUGUGCGGGGGAGGGCAGUGGGGGACCAGUUAGGGUGGUGCUGUGCCCCCUCAGAUGUGCUUUAGGUGGAUUCACCCAAGGAGCAGUGUGGGCAGACUGGAGCAGCAGACUGAGGAUGUGCCACCAUCCUCCCCUGCAGUGGGACCCACAUGACGUGGUGGCAGAGCUGGCUAGGACCAGAGGCACCUCCUCCACUGCCCUUGUCCUAGCACCUGACAGCAUUUGUCCACAAGACGCGGGGACUGAGGGAGAAGGUGCAUGGGGCACAGAGAACAGUCACAGCAGCUGCCUCCCCAGUCCUGCCCGGGGCAUGUACCCCAGACCAGCUGCUGGCAGGCCCUCACAGGGGCACUCCACGAGCCCACGCAAUCCUUCAGUCCCCCUUCCUCCACAGCAGGGCAGACUCACAUCUGCCCCAGCAGAUUGGCGCUC